Molecule: ribosomal RNA, 492 nt
Filed under: uncultured bacterium
Lineage: Bacteria
Description: partial 16S ribosomal RNA
Rfam family: Bacterial small subunit ribosomal RNA
Source: RNAcentral
AGUGAACGCUGGCGGUAGGCCUAACACAUGCAAGUCGAACGGCAGCACAGUAAGAGCUUGCUCUUACGGGUGGCGAGUGGCGGACGGGUGAGGAAUACAUCGGAAUCUACUUUUUCGUGGGGGAUAACGUAGGGAAACUUACGCUAAUACCGCAUACGACCUACGGGUGAAAGCAGGGGAUCUUCGGACCUUGCGCGAUUGAAUGAGCCGAUGUCGGAUUAGCUAGUUGGCGGGGUAAAGGCCCACCAAGGCGACGAUCCGUAGCUGGUCUGAGAGGGUGAUCGGCAAAAAUGGAACUGAGACACGGUCCAGACUCAUACGGGAGGCAGCAGUGGGGAAUAUUGAACAAUGGGCGAAAGCCUGACGGAGCAAAGCCGCGUGAGUGAAGAAGGUCUUCGGAUAGUAAAACUCUUUUGUUGGGAAAGAAAAAAAGAGGAAGAAACCACGGCUGUCGUGACGGUACCAAAAAAGAAAGCCCCGGCUAACUACGUG